RNAcentral lists this ribosomal RNA (1227 nucleotides) under Triticum aestivum (bread wheat). RNAcentral's name for it is "partial small subunit ribosomal RNA". The record is from RNAcentral. Lineage: Eukaryota; Viridiplantae; Streptophyta; Magnoliopsida; Poales; Poaceae.
AUGGCGCCAUCGGAUACCAGGUUUGAGGUGAAGAAGUUCAACGGAACUGAAAGCUUUGGGUUAUGGCAGGCAAGGGUGAAAGAUUUGUUGGCACAACAGGGAUGCUUGAAGGCGUUGUUGCAGGAAGCCAAGCCAGCUAAGAUGGAGGCGGAUGACUGGGAGGAGUUACAGUUGAAAGCAGUCGGGACUAUAUGGUUGUGUCUGUCGGACCAGGUUAUUUAUCAUGUGAUGGAUGAGAAUUCGCCGAAGAAGAUCUGGGAGAAGCUGGAAAGUCAGUUUAUGUCCAAGACUGCAACGACCAAGGUGUAUCUGAAGCAAAAGUUGUAUGGGAUGAGGAUGCAGGAGGGGUCAGAUCUUGUGGAGUAUAUGAACGCCUUUAAUCAAGUUGUGACAGAUCUAGCACGCUUGGGUGCAACGGUUGACGACGAGGAUAGGGCAAUUCUGCUUCUUUGUUCGUUGCCAUCAUCCUAUGACCAUUUGAUCACUACUUUGACGCACGGCAAGGAGACCGUCAAGAAUGAGGAUAUUACUGCGGCAUUGCUAUCUUAUGAUAUGAGAAAGAAGAACGCGGUGGAAGUCUCUCAUGGUGAAGGUUUGCUAGUCAAGGGUGAGCAGUGGCGGAAGGGAUAUGAGGCUGGGAAGAACAAGAAAAAGAAAAAGAAUAUACAGUGUCACAAGUGUAAGCAGUGGGGACAUAUGAGAAAGGACUGUCCAGAACUCAAUAGUGGGGCAAGUGCUAAUAAGGCAACUUAUGGUGAUGACUCAGACAGCAGUAGUGAUGUUCUCAUACUAUCAGACAGGCGGUCAACCAAAGGUGAAGCGUGGAUGUUGGAUUCAGCUUGCUCUUUUCAUGCGACACCCAACAGGGAGUGGUUCUCUUCGUACAAGUCUGAUGAGUUUGGUUUUGCCUAUGUGGGCGAUGACACAGGUUAUCAUGUUGCUGGAGUGGGUGACAUCAAAAUCAAGAUGUUUGACGGAGUUGAGCGGAUGCUUCGGGGAGUCAGGCAUGUGUCAGGGCUAAGGAGGAAUCUAAUUUCGCUUGGUGUUCUUCAUGAUGGUGGUAUGGUAUUCCAUUGUGAUCGGGAUAGGAAGAUCAUGAGAAUCAUGGAAGAUAAGGUGACCGUGAUGAUUGGAGAGAGGACGGCUUCGCAUCUUUACAAGUUGCAAGGGAGCACUAUUGCAGGUGGAGUCACGAAGACUGGAGUUGCAGGAGUAGCAGCGGGGUCU